CAAAGUUUUGGUCCUAAACUUGCCGCUGUUUUUGAUUAAAUUUACACAUGUAAGUAUCCGCACCCCAGUGAACUAAGCCCAAAAAGAAACACGGAGCAGGUAUCAGGCACAAACUUUAGCCCAAAACACCUAGCUAUGCCACACCCCCACGGGAUAUCAACAGUGACAAACAUUAAGCCAUAAGCGACAUCCUACUUUAAAGCUUGACUUAGUUAUAAUCAUUAGAGUCGGCCAAUCUCGUGCCAGCCGCCGCGGUUACACGAGAGACUCAAAUCAGCCCCCCAACGGCGUAAAUUGUGACUAGAAUACUAAACCACCAUACAAGGGAAAAAUCAAAGCUUAACUGUAAAACAAGAGCAAAACGAAUUCCCUUUAUUUAAGUAAAUUUGAACUCACGAAAGCUAAGAAACAAACUAGGAUUAGAUACCCUACUAUGCUUAGCCCUUAAUAAGACCCCUCUUUAAACCAGGAGUCCGCCAGAGAACUACAGGUGAAAAGCCUAAAACUCAAAAGACUUGGCGGUGCCCCAAACCCGACUUAGAGGAGCCUGUCCUAUAAUCGAUAACCCACGAUAAACCCGACCGUUUUUUGCCCUACCAGCCUAUAUACCGCCGUCGCAAAUCUACCUCACAAGAGAACCAUCGUAGGUAAAACAGUUAAACACUAAAACGUCAGGUCAAGGUGUAGCUAAUAAAACGGAAGAGAUGGGCUACAUUCUUUAGUCCUAAAGUAUAACAAAAAGAACCCUGAAAACCCUUCCAAAAGGUGGAUUUAACAGUAAGCCUAGUAAGAAAACUAGACUUAAGCUCGCCCUGGGGCGCGCACACACCGCCCGUCACCCUCCUCUAAAUCACCCUAAGCCAAUUUAUAAUAAAACUCAGAACAAAAGAUGAGGCAAGUCGUAACAUGGUAAGCGCACUGGAAAGUGUGCUUGGAACA
This 939-nucleotide non-coding RNA is filed under the name Eurolophosaurus nanuzae. RNAcentral's name for it is "12S small subunit RNA". It matches the Rfam family "Bacterial small subunit ribosomal RNA". Lineage: Eukaryota; Metazoa; Chordata; Lepidosauria; Squamata; Tropiduridae. The record is from RNAcentral.